RNAcentral lists this microRNA precursor (78 nucleotides) under Trichobilharzia regenti. Its description in RNAcentral is "mir-3492 microRNA precursor family". It matches the Rfam family "mir-3492 microRNA precursor family". The record is from Rfam by way of RNAcentral. Lineage: Eukaryota; Metazoa; Platyhelminthes; Trematoda; Strigeidida; Schistosomatidae.
AGCCCUCUGUAUCCGUGCUGAGAUUUCGUCAGAGAUCAACCCGUUGAAUCUGAUGGUACUCCUCAAAUAAGUGAAGCU